AGUUCGAUCAUGGCUCAGAUUGAACGCUGGCGGGAUGCUUUACAUGCAAGUCGAACGGCAGCACGGACUUCGGUCUGGUGGCGGUGGCGAACGGGUGAGUAAUGUAUCGGAACGUGCCUAGUAGCGGGGGAUAACUACGCGAAAGCGUAGCUAAUACCGCAUACGCCCUUCGGGGAAAGCGGGGGACCUUCGGGCCUCGCACUAUUGGAAACGGCCGAUAUCGGAUUAGCUAGUUGGUGGGGUAACGGCUCGCAAAGGCGACGAUCCGUAGCUGGUUUGAGAGGACGACCAGCCACACUGGGACUGAGACGGCCCGGACUCUGCAGGAGGCAGCAGUGGGGAAUUUUGGACAAUGGGGAAACCUGAUCCAGCCAUCCCGCGUGUGCGAUGAAGGCCUUCGGGUUGUAAAGCACUUUUGGCAGAAAGAAACGGCACGGGAUAAUACCCCGUGCAACUGACGGUACCUGCAGAAUAAGCACCGGCUAACUACGUGCCAGCAGCCGCGGUAAUACGUAGGGUGCAAGCGUUAAUCGGAAUUACUGGGCGUAAAGCGUGCGCGAGCGGUUCGGAAAGAAGAUGUGAAAUCCCAGAGCUUAACUUUGGAACUGCAUUUUAACUACCGAGCUAGAGUGUGUCAGAGGAGGUGGAAUUCCGCGUGUAGCAGUGAAAUGCGUAGAUAUGCGGAGAAGACACCGAUGGCGAAGGCAACCUCCUGGGAUAACACUGACGCUCAUAAAAGCGUGGGAGCAAACAGGAUUAGAUACCCUGGUAGUCCACGCCCUAAACGAUGUCAACUAGCUGUUGGGGCCUUCGGGCCUUGGUAGCCCUGGCUAACGCGUGAAGUUGACCGCCUGGGGAAGUACGGUCGCAAGAUUAAAACUCAAGGAAUUGACGGGGACCGCACAAGCAGUGGAUGAUGUGGAUUAAUUCGAUGCAACAUGAAAAACCUUACCUACCCUUGACAUGUCUGGAAUCCCGAAGAGAUUUGGGAGUGCUCGCAAGAGAACCGGAACACAGGUGCUGCAUGGCUGUCGUCAGCUCGUGUCGUGAGAUGUUGGGUUAAGUCCCGCAACGAGCGCAACCCUUGUCAUUAGUUGCUACGAAAGGGCACUCUAAUGAGACUGCCGGUGACAAACCGGAGGAAGGUGGGGAUGACGUCAAGUCCUCAUGGCCCUUAUGGGUAGGGCUUCACCACGUCAUACAAUGGUCGGGACAGAGGGUCGCCAACCCGCGAGGAGCCAAUCCCAGAAACCCGAUCGUAGUCCGGAUCGCAGUCUGCAACUCGACUGCGUGAAGUCGGAAUCGCUGGUAAUCGCGGAUCAGCAUGUCGCGGUGAAUACGUUCCCGGGUCUUGUACACACCGCCCGUCACACCAUGGGAGUGGGUUUGCAAGUAGUUAGCCUAACCGUAAGAGGGCGAUUACCACGGUAGGAUUCAUGACUGGGGUGAAGUCGUAACAAGGUAA
This 1465-nucleotide ribosomal RNA is filed under the name uncultured Bordetella sp. RNAcentral's name for it is "partial 16S-23S ribosomal RNA intergenic spacer". It matches the Rfam family "Bacterial small subunit ribosomal RNA". Lineage: Bacteria; Pseudomonadati; Pseudomonadota; Betaproteobacteria; Burkholderiales; Alcaligenaceae. The record is from RNAcentral.